UACGUAGGGGGCAAGCGUUGUCCGGAAUCAUUGGGCGUAAAGAGCGUGUAGGCGGCCAGACAGGUCCACUGUGAAAACUCGAGGCUCAACCUCGAGAGGUCGGUGGAAACCGUCUGGCUAGAGUCCGGAAGAGGAGAGUGGAAUUCCCGGUGUAGCGGUGAAAUGCGCAGAUAUCGGGAAGAACACCCGUGGCGAAGGCGGCUCUCUGGGACGGUACUGACGCUGAGACGCGAAAGCGUGGGGAGCGAACAGG
Molecule: ribosomal RNA, 253 nt
Filed under: uncultured bacterium
Lineage: Bacteria
Description: partial 16S ribosomal RNA
Rfam family: Bacterial small subunit ribosomal RNA
Source: RNAcentral